This 253-nucleotide ribosomal RNA is filed under the name uncultured bacterium. Its description in RNAcentral is "partial 16S ribosomal RNA". It matches the Rfam family "Bacterial small subunit ribosomal RNA", at positions 524 to 776 of the family's 1533-position model. The record is from RNAcentral.
UACGUAGGGCGCAAGCGUUGUCCGGAAUUAUUGGGCGUAAAGAGCUCGUAGGCGGCUUGUCACGUCGGGUGUGAAAGCCCGGGGCUUAACCCCGGGUCUGCAUUCGAUACGGGCAGGCUAGAGUGUGGUAGGGGAGAUCGGAAUUCCUGGUGUAGCGGUGAAAUGCGCAGAUAUCAGGAGGAACACCGGUGGCGAAGGCGGCUCUCUGGGCCAUUACUGACGCUGAGGAGCGAAAGCCAGGGGAGCGAACGGG